RNAcentral lists this ribosomal RNA (253 nucleotides) under uncultured bacterium. Its description in RNAcentral is "partial 16S ribosomal RNA". It matches the Rfam family "Bacterial small subunit ribosomal RNA", at positions 524 to 776 of the family's 1533-position model. The record is from RNAcentral.
UACGUAGGGUGCGAGCGUUGUCCGGAAUUAUUGGGCGUAAAGAGCUUGUAGGCGGUUUGUCGCGUCUGCUGUGAAAAUCCGGGGCUCAACCCCGGACUUGCAGUGGGUACGGGCAGACUAGAGUGUGGUAGGGGAGACUGGAAUUCCUGGUGUAGCGGUGGAAUGCGCAGAUAUCAGGAGGAACACCGAUGGCGAGGGCAGGUCUCUGGGCCACUACUGACGCUGAGAAGCGAAAGCGUGGGGAGCGAACAGG